Molecule: ribosomal RNA, 434 nt
Filed under: uncultured bacterium
Lineage: Bacteria
Description: bacterial SSU rRNA
Rfam family: Bacterial small subunit ribosomal RNA
Source: RNAcentral
GUCGAGGAUCUUCGGCAAUGGGCGCAAGCCUGACCGAGCGACGCCGCGUGUGCGAUGAAGGCCUUCGGGUUGUAAAGCACUGUCGAGGGGGAGGAAAGCCGAAAGGUCUGACCUAUCCCUGGAGGAAGCACGGGCUAAGUUCGUGCCAGCAGCCGCGGUAAGACGAACCGUGCGAACGUUGUUCGGAAUCACUGGGCUUAAAGGGCGCGUAGGCGGGUGUCCAAGUCAGGGGUGAAAUCCUCCGGCUCAACCGGAGAACUGCCUUUGAUACUGGACGUCUGGAGUGAGGUAGGGGCAUGCGGAACUUCCGGUGGAGCGGUGAAAUGCGUAGAUAUCGGAAGGAACACCGGUGGCGAAGGCGGCGUGCUGGACCUCAACUGACGCUGAGGCGCGAAAGCCAGGGGAGCAAACGGGAUUAGAAACCCGAGUAGUCC